CAAAAUCAAUACCAACCUUCCUUUUGUGGUCAUAAACAUUGUGUUUAAAUUUCAUAGAUUUCUAUUUACUUAAACUAAAGUUAUUGUGCAAAAACCAAGAAAAAUGCUUAUUUGGGCCCUUUGUUGGCCCCUUAUUCCUAAACUAUUGAAACCAAAACUCCCAAAAUCAAUCCCAAUCUUUCUUUUGUGGUCAUAAACCUUGUGUCAAAAUUUCAUAGAUUUCUAUUAACUUAAACUAAAGUUAUGGUGCGAAAACCAAGAAAAUGCUUAUUUGGGCCCUUUUUGGCCCUUAAUUCCUAAAAUGUUGGGACCAAAACUCCCAAAAUCAAUACCAACC
This 337-nucleotide long non-coding RNA is filed under the name Mytilus galloprovincialis (Mediterranean mussel). Lineage: Eukaryota; Metazoa; Mollusca; Bivalvia; Mytilida; Mytilidae. The record is from RNAcentral.